Small nuclear RNA from Ictidomys tridecemlineatus (thirteen-lined ground squirrel), 107 nucleotides. Lineage: Eukaryota; Metazoa; Chordata; Mammalia; Rodentia; Sciuridae. The record is from Ensembl.
GUGCUCACUUCAGCAGCACAUACACUAAAAUUGGAAUGACACAGAGAAGAUUAGCAUGGCCCCUGUUCAAGGAUGACAUGCAAAUUUGUGAAGUGUUCUAUACAAAA